GCCUCCUGCAAACCCCAAAGUAUAGGAGGUCUUGCCUGCCCAGUGAUAAAUUAAACGGCCGCGGUAUUUUGACCGUGCGAAGGUAGCGCAAUCACUUGUCUUUUAAAUGAAGACCUGUAUGAAUGGCGGAACGAGGGCUUAACUGUCUCCCCUUUCCAGUCAAUGAAAUUGAUCUGUCCGUGCAGAAGCGGACAUAAAUAUACAAGACGAGAAGACCCUUUGGAGCUUAAGAUAUUAGAUCACCCACGUCAAGAACAAAGUUAAACUAAGUGGCACCUGAUCCCUAUCUUCGGUUGGGGCGACCAUGGGAGAAAACAAAGCUCCCACGCGGACUGGAAUUAUAAUUCUAAAACCAAGAAAGACAUUUCUAAGUAACAGUAAAUCUGACCAAUAAGAUCCGGCAAAUGCCGAUCAACGGACCAAGUUACCCUAGGGAUAACAGCGCAAUCCCCUUUAAGAGUUCAUAUCGACAAGGGGGUUUACGACCUCGAUGUUGGAUCAGGACAUCCUAAUGGUGCAGCCGCUAUUAAGGGUUCGUUUGUUCAACGAUUAAAGUCCU
Molecule: ribosomal RNA, 559 nt
Filed under: Tatia sp. 2 BBC-2019
Lineage: Eukaryota; Metazoa; Chordata; Actinopteri; Siluriformes; Auchenipteridae
Description: partial 16S ribosomal RNA
Rfam family: Bacterial large subunit ribosomal RNA
Source: RNAcentral